This 425-nucleotide ribosomal RNA is filed under the name uncultured bacterium. RNAcentral describes it as "partial 16S ribosomal RNA". It matches the Rfam family "Bacterial small subunit ribosomal RNA", at positions 354 to 796 of the family's 1533-position model. The record is from RNAcentral.
GUGAGGAAUUUUGCGCAAUGGGGGCAACCCUGACGCAGCGACGCCGCGUGGAGGACGAAGUCUUUCGGGAUGUAAACUCCUGUCAGUGGGGACGAUAAUGACGGUACCCACAGAGGAAGCACCGGCUAACUCCGUGCCAGCAGCCGCGGUAAGACGGAGGGUGCAAGCGUUGUUCGGAAUUACUGGGCGUAAAGCGUAUGUAGGCGGCAAGUUAAGUUCAAUGUUAAAGCCCACGGCUCAACCGAGGAGAUGCAUUGAAUACUGGCUAGCUAGAGGGUGUUAGAGGAGGACGGAAUUCCCAGUGUAGCGGUGAGAUGCGUAGAUAUUGGGAGGAACAUCGGUAGCGAAAGCGGUCUUCUGGGACAUACCUGACGCUGAGGUACGAAAGCGUGGGGAGCAAACGGGAUUAGAUACCCGAGUAGUCC